GUAGGAGGCAAGCGUUAUCCGGAAUUACUGGGCGUAAAGCGCAUGCAGGCGGUUACGUAAGUCGGACGUAAAAGCUCCUGGCUCAACUAGGAGAGGCCGUUCGAAACUAAGUGACUAGAGGGUGAUAGAGGCGAGUGGAAUUCCCGGUGUAGUGGUGAAAUGCGUAGAUAUCGGGAGGAACACCAGAGGCGAAGGCGGCUCGCUGGGUCACACCUGACGCUAAGAUGCGAAAGCCAGGGGAGAGAACGGGAUUAGAAACCCCGGUAUUCCUGGCCGUAAACGAUGUCAACUAGGCGUAGGAGGUUAAUAAUCCUCCUGUGCUGCAGCCAACGCGAUAAGUUGACCGCCUGGGGAGUACGGCCGCAAGGCUA
RNAcentral lists this ribosomal RNA (371 nucleotides) under uncultured bacterium. RNAcentral describes it as "bacterial SSU rRNA". It matches the Rfam family "Bacterial small subunit ribosomal RNA", at positions 527 to 896 of the family's 1533-position model. The record is from RNAcentral.